Esox lucius (northern pike) is the source of this 2840-nucleotide long non-coding RNA. Lineage: Eukaryota; Metazoa; Chordata; Actinopteri; Esociformes; Esocidae. The record is from Ensembl.
CCACUAUCACCUGACCUCUACCACCACCAUCAUCCCACUAUCACCUGACCUCUACCACCACCAUCAUCCCACUAUCACCUGACCUCUACCACCACCAUCAUCCCACCAUUAUCUGACCUCUACCACCACCAUCAUCCCACCAUUAUUUGACCUCUACCACCACCAUCAUCCCACUAUCACCUGACCUCUACCACAACCAUCAUCCCACUAUCACCUGACCUCUACCACCACCAUCAUCCCACUAUCACCUGACCUCUACCACCACCAUCAACCCACUAUCACCUGACCUCUACCACCACCAUCAACCCACUAUAACCUGACCUCUACCACCACCAUCAUCCCACUAUCACCUGACCUCUACCACCACCAUCAUCCCACUAUCACCUGACCUCUACCACCACCAUCAAUCCACCAUCACCUGACAUCUACCACCACCACCCACAUCCCACCAUUAUCUGACCUCCUUCAUCAUCAACCCACCACCACUAUAACCACUAAUACCACCACCAUCAUCUGACCUCUACCACCAGCAUCAUCAUCCCACAAACGUCAUCAUCCCACCACACCUGUCAUCAUACCACCAACAACAACAAAAUACUGUCAUUGUCGUUGGUGGUACCACCACCACAAUCCGACCACCAUCAUCCUACCACCACCAUUUCCUGUGUGGAUCACCAUCAUCCUAUCACUGCCACUUCCCUGUGUGAAUCACCAUCAUCCUAUCACCUCCACUUCCCUCUGUGGAUCACCAUCAUCCUAUCACCGCCACUUCCCUCUGUGGAUCACCAUCAUCCUAUCACCGCCACUUCCCUCUGUGGAUCUGAGAUGAGACUGGUAGAAGGUAUUCCCCUUACUGUACUCCAAAGAAAUGGAGUACUCAAAAAAAAACAGAAAACCAAUAGACGCCAAAUAUUACGUAAGAAGAAAACACACAUGGAAUUUGCUAAAGGUCUUUGAGAGUGCACAGCAUAAUAUUUGUUUAUUGGAUUUGCGGGACAUCAAUGUUACCUAGAUGCAACACAUAACCUGCAAUGUGGUUGAAUCCUAACCUUCACCCUUACAGUCUCUAGCCAUUUCUCUGUAGUAAAAAAGCAAAUCGUAUGGUAAUCCUGAAAUGCCUGCUAAAGUACUUAUGGACACAGUGUAAAAAUACCAUGGACCCAAAGGUUUAACCGAAUGUAUACUGUAGUGAAUGUUACUGUGAUGAUGAAUCUUUGUUUUGCCGGUGAUCUGUUGGCAUGUAAUAGCCUGACCCCGGAUCCGUUUCCCGGCGUCCUGUCUGGUCUUCUUUAUCUAGCCGUGUGCUUCCAUUGUCAUGCUAGCGCAAACACAUCUGAGACUCAGUGCAAUAGGGGUGUGGUGCCAUCAGUUACCAAAAUCUGCCGCAUCUUAGCAUGAACGCCGGCCCUUUAGGCUUUAGCCUUUUGCUAAGCAAAACUUUAUUUUGGGCCCCCUCCCCUAGUUGUCCCUAGCAGUAUGGGACCACCUAGUGCUCGGGGGGCCCUAAGUGACUGUUUAUGUCGCUUAUGCUUAGAACCGGCCUUGCCGACACAGUGUCACCUAGUUGGCUGGAGCACCGACAGUCCUGGCACAGUGUUAGCCGCGUUAGUUAGUAACCAGAACCGAAAAAUAGAAAUGACAAUAGAAUUAAGAUAUUUGAAAGCGUGCUGUUUACCAGGGCCGGGAUCACUUCCACUCAAAUUCCAGUCAAUGUUGGUAGUAUGUCCCAAUACAAAUUCAAGGUCUCUUCAAUGUAUUUUUAUUUCAAAUUUGGUUUACAUUUGGAAUUGAUUGUGAAGUGAAUGCCCCCCCACCCUGAUAUGAUGUUACAUAUAUACAGUACAACACAGCCAUAUGUGUAUAGUGUUGGCAAUGCUUACAUGCUAGAAUUGAAUUAGGACAAAGUAUGCUGUUUGCUUUGAUUGGUGCUAUCUUACAAUGGCAGUCAUGCACUUUCUGACUAAGAGCGUGUGUGUCUGUGUGCGCGCGUGUGCACAUUAUGAAUUGGUUGUGUGAUUAGGUGAACGCGCGCGCGAAUGGGUGUGCGUGUCUGGGGUGUAUGAGCUUUUGACUGCGCCCUCCAACACACUCCAUCCCCGAAACCUAAACAUUGAAAUUAACUUAUAUUUUUUAUACAAAGGAAACAAUUCAAAUGUUGGCCUUUUUGUUUUGUACAAAGUGAACAUAACAAGAAACUGAAGUUAUAAUAACUUAUGACAAUGGUUCUAGACAUGCUAUAACCGUUGUAAGAAUGGUCUAUGCAUGGUAUUAACUGUUAAGUAAAUGGUCUAGACAUAACUGUUAUAUGGUCUAUACAUGUUAUAACGGUUAAAUAUAUUUGGGUAAGGCAUGUUAUAACUGUUAUGAAGGGUCUAGACAUGUUAUAACUGAGAAUGUCUCAGCUGUAAAUGUAACAAAGAAGUAACAAUGAUGAGUUUUAUUAAAUAUUCCUGAAAGAUAUCAGUGGCAUCUGUGUGCGCUUUCAAGACUGCAGUAGCCAUUCACACAAUUUGUUUUCGCUACUAAAUGCAUGAUAUAGGCUGUGACUGAAUAACAAGCACGUUACUAAACCGUGGGGCAAGUGGUUGAUCCGAACACAUUUGGAAAAUAUAUUCCUGAAUACAUUUGUUAAAUAUAUGUCAAAAUGUUUGAAAUUGGCCACUUAUAUAUAUUUGUAAAUUUAAAUAGACAACCGGCAAGGUGGUGUUUCGCACCUGCAACCUUUUGUUCCACUGACAGGCGCGCUAACCACUACUCCAAACAGGACGAGCUUGGUAAGAGAGGUAGUGGUAUUAACAAUACGUCGGUAAUUACAUUUCAUCUUUUUACUUUCACAGGAC